This 841-nucleotide small RNA is filed under the name Arabidopsis thaliana (thale cress). RNAcentral describes it as "ATSL060310". Lineage: Eukaryota; Viridiplantae; Streptophyta; Magnoliopsida; Brassicales; Brassicaceae. The record is from RNAcentral.
AAAUAGUUUAUUUUUGAAGGCUGGUAAUUUAUUGCUAGUCUAAAUUUUUAUAUUGAAAACUAUGGAAGUAUGUUUUACCUACUGUGACGGUAGGUAGGAAAAACGAAUGGUGGUAAGCUUUGAAAUGUGUCAGCAAUGAUAGAUUGGGUUUGCUGGUUGCUAGAUGUAGCAAAAAAUUGGUGAGUCGGCGCAGUAGAACAAUCCUGUACAAAUAUAGUUUAAAAAUUGAAACAAGUAUAUAUAGACUAUAUAGAGGAACACCUUUUGUAUGAAUAAUUUGCUUAGAAGGCUGAUAAGUUAAAACUAUUCAAAAAUAAUCUACCUUGCUUGUAUAGAAAACUAUAGAACUUUACUUUACCUAUUGUAAUUGGUUAUAAAUCGUGUCACAUGAACUAAAUGUUAUCAAUAACUUCAUAUCAGUCUCCAAUGAGUCAAAGUUAAUAACAUCAUUGUUGAUAUGCUUCGAAUCUUACCAUAAUUCACUUUUCCUCAUAUACAUGUAAAACAUAAUUACUUAGUCUUCUAUACAAGAAGUUUAUAUUAGUUUUGAAUUACCAACCUUCAAAAGCAAACUAUUGAACAAUUGUCUCUAUUCAUUUAUUCUCCUCUAAUGACACUUUUUGAUUUCUUGUAGAUUGAUCCUCCUUUAAGAGGUUAAUUUUUGUUACCAAAUUUUGUAUUGACCAAUAUGUCUUUUGCGAUUUUGUGUUAGACUUGUACAAAUUGACAAUUUUGAUACUUUUGGUUUUUUGAACGAUUUUGAUAUUCUUUGUAUAUUCUUUAGUUUUUUAAUGUUUAGUUAGAAUAAUUAGAAGAUGACACAUAUAUAUAUAUAUAAAAC